This 253-nucleotide ribosomal RNA is filed under the name uncultured bacterium. RNAcentral describes it as "partial 16S ribosomal RNA". It matches the Rfam family "Bacterial small subunit ribosomal RNA", at positions 524 to 776 of the family's 1533-position model. The record is from RNAcentral.
UACGGAGGAGGCAAGCGUUAUCCGGAAUUACUGGGCGUAAAGCGUGCGCAGGCGGUUAUAUAAGACAGUUGUGAAAUCCCCGGGCUCAACCUGGGAACUGCAUCUGUGACUGUAUAGCUAGAGUACGGUAGAGGGGGAUGGAAUUCCGCGUGUAGCAGUGAAAUGCGUAGAUAUGCGGAGGAACACCGAUGGCGAAGGCAAUCCCCUGGACCUGUACUGACGCUCAUGCACGAAAGCGUGGGGAGCAAACAGG